This 553-nucleotide long non-coding RNA is filed under the name Mytilus galloprovincialis (Mediterranean mussel). The record is from RNAcentral. Lineage: Eukaryota; Metazoa; Mollusca; Bivalvia; Mytilida; Mytilidae.
UGCCUUUGACAUCAAUAACCGGAAAUUGACGAUGAGUGCUGUUUUUCCUCGAUUCGCUAAACGUCUUGGUGUUUGCGUGAAUAGGAAAAUCCAUACAAUUAAAACACAAAUAUCCCAUGCAAGCAAACCAGCUCGCGCAGAGUUAUACCACACCGCAUAAAUUAUAUAACACAGAUACGCAACAGGAAUUAAUAUUUUCAAGGCUGUCAAGACAAAAGUUUUUGUUUUAUUUCUCCACCAUGAACUUUUUAACACAGGAGGAGUGUAAAAUUGCGAGAACGAGUCCGAAUUCAUACAUGAUUUUUUUAUCAGAGAUUUUCGGUCAGCUGAAAGCGUGUCGUCAAUUGUAAAACUUUCACUUUUCACAGUAGAACUUUUCUGUAGAAGAGGCUGUUCCGAUGCCAUGUUGAAUUAGAUCACGACGUUAUUGAAAUAUCACUGUUCAUUCAUUCUUCUGUAAAACAAAGAAACAAAUGUAGCAUUGCUGGUGGAGGUUUUCUAUAGUCGUCAGUACUUUUGUGUCGACUAGAAAUUUCGUUGAUUUGGUAAUGUC